This 253-nucleotide ribosomal RNA is filed under the name uncultured bacterium. RNAcentral's name for it is "partial 16S ribosomal RNA". It matches the Rfam family "Bacterial small subunit ribosomal RNA", at positions 524 to 776 of the family's 1533-position model. The record is from RNAcentral.
UACGUAGGGGGCAAGCGUUGUCCGGAUUUAUUGGGCGUAAAGAGCGUGUAGGCGGCCAGGUAGGUCAGCUGUGAAAACUCGAGGCUCAACCUCGAGACGCCGGUUGAAACCAUCUGGCUAGAGUCCGGAAGAGGAGAGUGGAAUUCCUGGUGUAGCGGUGAAAUGCGCAGAUAUCAGGAAGAUCACCCGUGGCUAAGGCGGCUCUCUAGUACGGUACUGACGCUGAGACGCGAAAGCGUGGGGAGCGAACAGG